AGAGUUUGAUCCUGGCUCAGGAUGAACGCUGGCGGCGUGCCUAACACAUGCAAGUUGAGCGAUUUACUUCGGUAAAGAGCGGCGGACGGGUGAGUAACGCGUGGGUAACCUACCCUGUACACACGGAUAACAUACCGAAAGGUAUGCUAAUACGGGAUAAUAUAUUUGAGAGGCAUCUCUUAAAUAUCAAAGGUGAGCCAGUACAGGAUGGACCCGCGUCUGAUUAGCUAGUUGGUAAGGUAACGGCUUACCAAGGCGACGAUCAGUAGCCGACCUGAGAGGGUGAUCGGCCACAUUGGAACUGAGACACGGUCCAAACUCCUACGGGAGGCAGCAGUGGGGAAUAUUGCACAAUGGGCGAAAGCCUGAUGCAGCAACGCCGCGUGAGUGAUGAAGGCCUUCGGGUCGUAAAACUCUGUCCUCAAGGAAGAUAAUGACGGUACUUGAGGAGGAAGCCCCGGCUAACUACGUGCCAGCAGCCGCGGUAAUACGUAGGGGGCUAGCGUUAUCCGGAUUUACUGGGCGUAAAGGGUGCGUAGGCGGUCUUUCAAGUCAGGAGUGAAAGGCUACGGCUCAACCGUAGUAAGCUCUUGAAACUGGGAGACUUGAGUGCAGGAGAGGAGAGUGGAAUUCCUAGUGUAGCGGUGAAAUGCGUAGAUAUUAGGAGGAACACCAGUUGCGAAGGCGGCUCUCUGGACUGUAACUGACGCUGAGGCACGAAAGCGUGGGGAGCAAACAGGAUUAGAUACCCUGGUAGUCCACGCUGUAAACGAUGAGUACUAGGUGUCGGGGGUUACCCCCUUCGGUGCCGCAGCUAACGCAUUAAGUACU
Molecule: ribosomal RNA, 831 nt
Filed under: Clostridioides difficile
Lineage: Bacteria; Bacillati; Bacillota; Clostridia; Peptostreptococcales; Peptostreptococcaceae
Description: bacterial SSU rRNA
Rfam family: Bacterial small subunit ribosomal RNA
Source: RNAcentral